This 850-nucleotide ribosomal RNA is filed under the name uncultured Alphaproteobacteria bacterium. RNAcentral's name for it is "bacterial SSU rRNA". It matches the Rfam family "Bacterial small subunit ribosomal RNA", at positions 639 to 1500 of the family's 1533-position model. Lineage: Bacteria; Pseudomonadati; Pseudomonadota; Alphaproteobacteria. The record is from RNAcentral.
AGCUAGAGUAUGAUAGAGGAAAGCAGAAUUUCUAGUGUAGAGGUGAAAUUCGUAGAUAUUAGAAAGAAUACCAAUUGCGAAGGCAGCUUUCUGGAUCAUUACUGACACUGAGGAACGAAAGCAUGGGUAGCGAAGAGGAUUAGAUACCCUCGUAGUCCAUGCCGUAAACGAUGUGUGUUAGACGUUGGAAAUUUAUUUUCAGUGUCGCAGCGAAAGCGAUAAACACACCGCCUGGGGAGUACGACCGCAAGGUUAAAACUCAAAUGAAUUGACGGGGACCCGCACAAGUAGUGGAGCAUGUGGUUUAAUUCGAAGAUACGCGCAGAACCUUACCAACACUUGACAUGUUCGUCGCGACUCUAAGAGAUUAGAGUUUUCGGUUCGGCCGGACGAAACACAGGUGCUGCAUGGCUGUCGUCAGCUCGUGUCGUGAGAUGUUGGGUUAAGUCCCGCAACGAGCGCAACCCUCACUUUUAGUUGCCAUCAUUAAGUUGGGCACUCUGAAAGAACUGCCAGUGAUAAGCUGGAGGAAGGUGGGGAUGACGUCAAGUCCUCAUGGCCCUUACGUGUUGGGCUACACACGUGCUACAAUGGUAUCUACAACAGGAAGCAAGACUGCGAGGUCAAGCAAAUCCCUAAAAGAUACCUCAGUUCGGAUUGCACUCUGCAACUCGAGUGCAUGAAGCUGGAAUUACUAGUAAUCGUGGAUCAGCGUGCCACGGUGAAUGCGUUCCCGGGUCUUGUACACACCGCCCGUCACACCAUGGGAGUUGGUUCUACCUUAAGGCAAGGUUUCAAACCCUUGACCACGGUAUAGUCAGCGACUGGGGUGAAGUCGUAACAAGGUAAC